CGUACACUCCUACGGGAGGCAGCAGUGGGGAAUAUUGCACAAUGGGCGCAAGCCUGAUGCAGCCAUGCCGCGUGUAUGAAGAAGGCCUUCGGGUUGUAAAGUACUUUCAGCGGGGAGGAAGGCAAUACGGUUAAUAACCGUGUUGAUUGACGUUACCCGCAGAAGAAGCACCGGCUAACUCCGUGCCAGCAGCCGCGGUAAUACGGAGGGUGCAAGCGUUAAUCGGAAUUACUGGGCGUAAAGCGCACGCAGGCGGUCUGUCAAGUCGGAUGUGAAAUCCCCGGGCUCAACCUGGGAACUGCAUUCGAAACUGGCAGGCUUGAUUCUUGUAGAGGGGGGUAGAAUUCCAGGUGUAGCGGUGAAAUGCGUAGAGAUCUGGAGGAAUACCGGUGGCGAAGGCGGCCCCCUGGACAAAGACUGACGCUCAGGUGCGAAAGCGUGGGGAGCAAACAGGAUUAGAAACCCGUGUAGUCCCAU
RNAcentral lists this ribosomal RNA (477 nucleotides) under uncultured organism. Its description in RNAcentral is "partial 16S ribosomal RNA". It matches the Rfam family "Bacterial small subunit ribosomal RNA", at positions 330 to 798 of the family's 1533-position model. The record is from RNAcentral.